This 76-nucleotide non-coding RNA is filed under the name Devosia chinhatensis. The record is from RNAcentral. Lineage: Bacteria; Pseudomonadati; Pseudomonadota; Alphaproteobacteria; Hyphomicrobiales; Devosiaceae.
CCUCCAUUCAGUGGUGAUUUGGCCGGUCGCUUGCAGCCACUUAAAACAAAUAGCUAAAGACCGUUUGGAACCGGCC